CUUUUUCUCUUGCUUCUUGCCUUGCCUGGAAUUACAAAUUUCUCCAAGGAAGAUUGGGAGUUCUGUUUGUGCUUCUGCUGCAAGGGUUUUGGGGGGUUUGGAGUUUUAAUAGUGUUUUGAACAAUGCUUGUCGGUGCCGGGAGGCAGUUUCCUGUACUGGAUAAGCAGUCCUCUACAAAUACUGACAACCAUUCUAAGCUGACAUCUACUUCCGUAUUCUGAGCACUGAAAAGGUCAUCAAGAGGGCUUGUAUGUGUUAUAGCAGUACCAAGCUUAGAGCAGGGAGAAGAAGAUGUAAGGACUUUCUCCUGUUGGUGAUACUCACCGGAAACUGUCACAUU
RNAcentral lists this unclassified non-coding RNA (341 nucleotides) under Hevea brasiliensis (rubber tree). The record is from RNAcentral. Lineage: Eukaryota; Viridiplantae; Streptophyta; Magnoliopsida; Malpighiales; Euphorbiaceae.